RNAcentral lists this ribosomal RNA (319 nucleotides) under uncultured eukaryote. RNAcentral describes it as "partial 18S ribosomal RNA". It matches the Rfam family "Eukaryotic small subunit ribosomal RNA", at positions 1470 to 1796 of the family's 1831-position model. The record is from RNAcentral.
CCCUUAGAUGUUCUGGGCAGCACGCGCGCUACAAUGGUCUUCGCAAACGGGUGCAUUCUCGAAGGAGAAUGCCAAUCUUGGAAUCUAUGCCUUGGUCGGGACAGUUGCUUGCAAUUUUUCGACUCGAACCAGGAAUUCCUUGUAAUCGUGAUUCAUCACAUCACGAUGAAUACGUCCCUGCCCUUUGUACACACCGCCCGUCGCUCCUACCGAUCGAAGAGUUAGGUGAAUUGUUUUGAUCGAUAAGAUUUGACUAUGGUCAACUCUCGUUGCGAAAUUCUGUGAAUCUGACUGUUUAGAGGAAGGAAAAGUCGUAACA